This 951-nucleotide ribosomal RNA is filed under the name Triticum aestivum (bread wheat). RNAcentral describes it as "partial small subunit ribosomal RNA". Lineage: Eukaryota; Viridiplantae; Streptophyta; Magnoliopsida; Poales; Poaceae. The record is from RNAcentral.
AUGAUUAAGGACAUCUCAAUUAUCUCUUGGAAUGUACGCGGUCUAGGUAGACACAAAAAAUGUACUGACGUCAAAGCCGCUAUUUCUUCCUCUGCGUGCUCCGUGUUGUGUUUGCAAGAAUCAAAACUCCUAGAUAUAUCUCAAUUUAAGGCUAUCUCUUUUCUACCACCCAACCUUAGAUCCUUCCAUUCCAUCCCCGCCAAUGGAUCAGCGGGAGGAAUUAUCACUGCUUGGGACGACAAUCUUCUGUCUUGCUCCAAGGUGGUGGACGACCCCUUUUCCUUAACCUGCUGGUUUGACUCAUGGGCCGACGAUCUCUCCUUUGUGGUCACAAAUGUGUAUGGGCCUUGCGACCAUGCUUUAAAACCCUUGUUCCUGCAGUCGCUCGUUGAUCUAAAACAUGACAUCUCCUAUCCUUGGACGAUCAUUGGGGACUUCAACAUCACUCUCAAGCCGUCGGACAAAUUCUCCUCCCACUUCAACAUGAGCGAAGCGCAUCUCUUCUCCUCAACCAUAAACACUUUUCAGCUUCAGCCCCCCCCCCCUGUUCUUGAUUGCCGCUUCACCUGGUCGAACCAGCAGGAGGUGCCCAUCCUCAUUUGGUUGGAUAGGGCGCUUACAAACGAUCCUUGGACAUAUUUUCCAGAUACUUCACUCUCCUCUAUAACUCGUACAACCUCAGACCAUGUUCCUAUUCGCCUUUCUGCCAAGACAUCUAUUCCCAAAUCUUCAGUUUUUCGCUUAGAUCGAUCACUCCUAAACAUCCCCCUCUUUAAAGAGAGGGUGGCUACAAACUGGGCAAGCGUGGGUUCCCGACAUGCCCACCUUGGCGCCGCGGGGAUUCUCUCCCUUAAGUUAAAAUGCACUAGAAACAUGGCAAAGAAGUGGUUGUCAAACCGUCACUCUCCAAAAACCCUAGCUCUGAAUUGCCAUGCUACUAUCACUUUCUAG